Molecule: non-coding RNA, 634 nt
Organism: Danio rerio (zebrafish)
Lineage: Eukaryota; Metazoa; Chordata; Actinopteri; Cypriniformes; Danionidae
Source: RefSeq, a predicted model, not a curated record
UUAAAAUCCAUAUCUUAUGUUUUAUAUUACUUUAAAACAGCCUGGAAACUGAAUUGCACCAUUAAUCUUGUACAUGUAUCAAGUCCAAACAAAUGGUUUUGUGGCAAGUAAAAAUAAUAUUUUUAUAAAUUGAUUGUAUUGUAUUAAUUUGUUACAGAAAAGAAAGGAAUCAUGCAAGGAUGCAAGCUGAAGGAAAGGACAACUCUCACAUCGGUGCAUUACUAAUUGUUUGACUUCAUCAUCAAGCACACCAGCUCAGAUUGUGAUGGACCUGGAAUGCGACACCAGUUACUCUUAAGUCAAGAACCAAAUGAAGCACCAGAGUACAGAUUAUGGAGGUAUCUGAAGUUGAACUAACUGGAAGCAGGGAACCAUACUAAUAAAGUUCCUUAAGCAGGUUCCUUGUAAAGAUGAACCCAGGGAAGGAUCGAAAGUGGAGAAGACCAGAUCAAGAAAGACCACAUCAAGAUCUGCGGUCAGUUCAAAGGAUGUUUUGCAUUGGACUGUUUUUUUUUUUGGCUUUGACCCUUGCUCGACCCUGACCUCACUCUUGGACUGCCCUAUUGGAUUUUCAGUUUAUUUAAUUUAAUUAAUUAAUUUUUUUUUGGUUCUGGGUAAAUGCUAAUAAAUAUUU